GUGAGGAAUAUUGGUCAAUGGGCGAGAGCCUGAACCAGCCAAGUCGCGUGAAGGAAGAAGGAUCUAUGGUUCGUAAACUUCUUUUGCAGGGGAAUAAAGUGCGGGACGUGUCCUGUUUUGUAUGUACCCUGAGAAUAAGGAUCGGCUAACUCCGUGCCAGCAGCCGCGGUAAUACGGAGGAUCCGAGCGUUAUCCGGAUUUAUUGGGUUUAAAGGGUGCGUAGGUGGUUUGAUAAGUCAGCGGUGAAAGUUUGCAGCUUAACUGUAAAAAUGCCGUUGAAACUGUCGGACUUGAGUGUAGAUGAGGUAGGCGGAAUGCGUGGUGUAGCGGUGAAAUGCAUAGAUAUCACGCAGAACUCCGAUUGCGAAGGCAGCUUACUAAGCUACAACUGACACUGAAGCACGAAAGCGUGGGGAUCAAACAGGAUUAGAUACCCGAGUAGUCC
Molecule: ribosomal RNA, 445 nt
Filed under: uncultured bacterium
Lineage: Bacteria
Description: partial 16S ribosomal RNA
Rfam family: Bacterial small subunit ribosomal RNA
Source: RNAcentral